AUUGAACGCUGGCGGCAGGCUUAACACAUGCAAGUCGAGCGGAGAGAGGUAGCUUGCUACUGAUCUUAGCGGCGGACGGGUGAGUAAUACUUAGGAAUCUGGCUAUUAGUGGGGGACAACAUUUCGAAAGGGAUGCUAAUACCGCAUACGUCCUACGGGAGAAAGCAGGGGAUCUUCGGACCUUGCGCUAAUAGAUGAGCCUAAGUCGGAUUAGCUAGUUGGUGGGGUAAAGGCCUACCAAGGCGACGAUCUGUAGCGGGUCUGAGAGGAUGAUCCGCCACACUGGGACUGAGACACGGCCCAGACUCCUACGGGAGGCAGCAGUGGGGAAUAUUGGACAAUGGGGGGAACCCUGAUCCAGCCAUGCCGCGUGUGUGAAGAAGGCCUUAUGGUUGUAAAGCACUUUAAGCGAGGAGGAGGGUGCUGGUAUUAAUACUACCAGGUACUGGACGUUACUCGCAGAAUAAGCACCGGCUAACUCUGUG
Molecule: ribosomal RNA, 485 nt
Filed under: uncultured bacterium
Lineage: Bacteria
Description: partial 16S ribosomal RNA
Rfam family: Bacterial small subunit ribosomal RNA
Source: RNAcentral